AGGAGGAGGUCUGCUACCCUCUGCCGUCCUCCACUCAGAGAGGAGCGGAACCCCCUGACACC
MicroRNA precursor from Oreochromis niloticus (Nile tilapia), 62 nucleotides. The record is from Ensembl. NCBI's taxonomy places the organism in Eukaryota, Metazoa, Chordata, Actinopteri, Cichliformes, Cichlidae.